This 443-nucleotide ribosomal RNA is filed under the name uncultured Caulobacteraceae bacterium. RNAcentral's name for it is "bacterial SSU rRNA". It matches the Rfam family "Bacterial small subunit ribosomal RNA", at positions 335 to 796 of the family's 1533-position model. Lineage: Bacteria; Pseudomonadati; Pseudomonadota; Alphaproteobacteria; Caulobacterales; Caulobacteraceae. The record is from RNAcentral.
UGCCUACGGGGGGCUGCAGUGGGGAAUCUUGCGCAAUGGGCGAAAGCCUGACGCAGCCAUGCCGCGUGGAUGAUGAAGGUCUUAGGAUUGUAAAAUCCUUUCACCGGGGACGAUAAUGACGGUACCCGGAGAAGAAGCCCCGGCUAACUUCGUGCCAGCAGCCGCGGUAAUACGAAGGGGGCUAGCGUUGCUCGGAUUUACUGGGCGUAAAGGGCGCGUAGGCGGACAGUUAAGUUAGGGGUGAAAUCCCGGGGCUCAACCGCGGAACUGCCUUUAAAACUGGCUGUCUUGAGUACGGGAGAGGUGUGUGGAACUCCGAGUGUAGAGGUGAAAUUCGUAGAUAUUCGGAAGAACACCAGUGGCGAAGGCGACACACUGGCCCGUUACUGACGCUGAGGCGCGAAAGCGUGGGGAGCAAACAGGAUUAGAUACCCUUGUAGUCC